This 372-nucleotide ribosomal RNA is filed under the name uncultured bacterium. RNAcentral's name for it is "bacterial SSU rRNA". It matches the Rfam family "Bacterial small subunit ribosomal RNA", at positions 28 to 404 of the family's 1533-position model. The record is from RNAcentral.
GACGAACGCUGGCGGCGUGCUUAACACAUGCAAGUCGAGCGGUAAGGCCCUUCGGGUACGACGAGCGGCGAACGGGUGAGUAACACGUGGGUAGCCUGCCCUCAGCUCUGGGAUAAGCCCGGGAAACUGGGUCUAAUACCGGAUAUCACCUUGGGAGGCAUCUUCCGGGGUUGAAAGUUUUUGGCGGCUGAGGAUGGGCCCGCGGCCUAUCAGCUUGUUGGUGGGGUAGUGGCCUACCAAGGCGACGACGGGAGCCGGCCUGAGAGGGCGACCGGCCACACUGGGACUGAGACACGGCCCAGACUCCUACGGGAGGCAGCAGUGGGGAAUAUUGCACAAUGGGCGAAAGCCUGAUGCAGCGACGCCGCGUGA